This 74-nucleotide transfer RNA is filed under the name Chloracidobacterium sp. RNAcentral's name for it is "tRNA-Ala". It matches the Rfam family "tRNA". From Rfam's summary of the family: Transfer RNA (tRNA) molecules are approximately 80 nucleotides in length. The record is from RNAcentral. Lineage: Bacteria; Pseudomonadati; Acidobacteriota; Blastocatellia; Chloracidobacteriales; Chloracidobacteriaceae.
GGGGCUAUAGCUCAGCUUGGAAGAGCGCUACAAUGGCAUUGUAGAGGCCGUCGGUUCGAGCCCGACUAGCUCCA